AGUGAACGCUGGCGGUAGGCCUAACACAUGCAAGUCGAACGGCAGCACAGUAAGAGCUUGCUCUUACGGGUGGCGAGUGGCGGACGGGUGAGGAAUACAUCGGAAUCUACUUUUUCGUGGGGGAUAACGUAGGGAAACUUACGCUAAUACCGCAUACGACCUACGGGUGAAAGCAGGGGAUCUUCGGACCUUGCGCGAUUGAAUGAGCCGAUGUCGGAUUAGCUAGUUGGCGGGGUAAAGGCCCACCAAGGCGACGAUCCGUAGCUGGUCUGAGAGGAUGAUCAGCGACACUGGAACUGAGACACGGUCCAGACUCCUACGGGAGGCAGCAGUGGGGAAUAUUGGACGAUGGGCGCAAGCCUGAUCCAGCCAUACCGCGUGGGUGAAGAAGGCCUUCGGGUUGUAAAGCCCUUUUGUUGGGAAAGAAAAGCAGCAGGUUAAUAUCCCGCUGUUCUGACGGUACCCAAAGAAUAAGCACCGGCUAACUUCGUG
This 492-nucleotide ribosomal RNA is filed under the name uncultured bacterium. RNAcentral's name for it is "partial 16S ribosomal RNA". It matches the Rfam family "Bacterial small subunit ribosomal RNA", at positions 29 to 507 of the family's 1533-position model. The record is from RNAcentral.